Molecule: long non-coding RNA, 1889 nt
Organism: Gasterosteus aculeatus aculeatus (three-spined stickleback)
Lineage: Eukaryota; Metazoa; Chordata; Actinopteri; Perciformes; Gasterosteidae
Source: Ensembl
UAUGUAUUUAAGAGACAUCGCUUGUUGGAGUUUGAUGCAUCCUCACUGAGUGGAUCUGUCUCUCUAUCCAUUCAUCUCAUAAAAUGUAAUUUUACCAUAAAAUGCAUCAAUGUCUAUUUUAUUUCUCAGCCCUUUAAUUGAAGAAGACCAAACACGCACGUACGUGCGCGCGUCACCUUGGUUUUGUGGUGAGUUUCCAGCGCUCUGCUCUGACUGGACCCCCCGGGAUGCACACUGACAGUUAGGAUGGCUGUGCAGUAUGUGCAGGGCAUUUGGAGUGUGUGUGUGUGUGUGUGUGUGUGUGUGUGUGUGUGUGUGUGUGUGUGUGUGUGUGAGGGAAUUAUGUCUUCACCAAACCGGAGCUGCACGUCGCCUCUCUUCCGUCUCAGUGCUGCACAGGAGGGAAUAAUGUGUUACGUCUCAUCAGCGGGAAGCCGUGACAUCUUCAGUGUGCUUCUAGCUUCACCGACCCAGUGUGUGUGUGCGUGUGUGUGUAUGUGCGUGUGUGUGUGCGUGUGCGUGUGUGCGCUGAGUGAAGCAGAUGCUUCACGUUUUUAAGCAGCAUUCUCUGUAGUGACCAGCAGGGGGCGACUCCUUCACUCCCUCAGUCUUAGAAAAUGACAAAAAGAACGUUCUGCCUGGACGUUCCUCCAACCCGUAGUGUGUCUGUGACGCGCACGUCUCCUCCUCUCCUUGUUGUGACAUCAGCAGAAGAAGACACUUAAUUGUUAUCAAACACAUUCAUUUAACACACACACACACACACACACACACACACACACACACACACACGAAGGCUGUCUUCUGUCUUCUUGUGUCUUGUGACUGAUGGAUCCCUCUUUCUUCUCCACACGUCUCCCGCAGUUCGCCCGAUUAAUAAUAACUACGAGCAGAACGAGUCGAUGGAACAGAAACACAACGAGCCUCGUCACCUGACGGGGUUUCCUCUCUUUGUCCACCUGGUCUGACUGACCCCCACUGGACGCUUUAGGGCUCCUGAGCCGUGCGGCGUGACCCUUCCAUCGCUGCACGAGCGGAUUGUGUCUGUGAUUGAUUGAUGGAUUGAUUGAUUGAUUGAUUGAUUGAUUGAGUCUAAAAGAAAAAAAUAAUUAAAAGUCGCUGCUUGUUGAGGUGUGACAAAUUGCUGCAGCUGUAAGACACACGGUAAUGUGUGUGUGUGUGUGUGUGUGUGUGCGCGACACAUCCUGUGCUACUGUCGCCGUGCUCGUUACCGGUUAAUUACCCAGAAUCCUGUGCGGGGUCGUAUUCCGAGAUCAACGAUCUGCCAAUCGGCCACUUUCCAAUCUGUUUAUUGGAGGAACGAAUGCUUCAGAUUCCCGACUCGAGCAACUUUGAGCGUCGACUCGCUCGAGCAAUCUGUCGAUUUCGUUUCCUGAAGUUCGGUCUGUUUCCAUCGUCAGUCCUCGUUUGACUGGAGCCUCACGCCAGCGGCUCCGGCUCGUCUCUCCAUCGUCCAGGUCGUGACUCUUAAAUAUCGGACGCGAUUGAAACGUCCGCCCGGUGCGUCUGCAGGCGUCGCGCCACCAGACGCCGGUUUGGGCCGAACAUCGGUACCGACCUGCUGGUGGAGGUCGGAUGUGUGCAGAUGUUUGUUUCUUCCGUUGCAGCUGUUUUUUUGGAACGUAGAAACACACUUUUGUGUCGCAUAGAACCUUUAAAGCUCUUUCUCUGCACUUCACCGACUCGAACGCGGCCUCGUGGGACAUUCUCACGCAGUCGAUUGUGACAUUUCGUUUGCAGGCGGUUGAUGAUUCGGUCGGGCCUCAGACUUUUAGCGGUUUUGACCGGAGCUGAUCCAGACGUGGAGAUCUACGCAGCGCCUUUCCGUCCUGAGACGGAACGCUCGCCAGUAAAGAAGGAAAUGAACC